CACUGGGAAGCUAAAACGGGGAAAGCAUUAGCCUUUUAAGCUAAAAAUUGGUGGCUCCCAACCACCCCCAAUGA
Molecule: transfer RNA, 74 nt
Filed under: Stylephorus chordatus (tube-eye)
Lineage: Eukaryota; Metazoa; Chordata; Actinopteri; Stylephoriformes; Stylephoridae
Description: tRNA-Lys
Rfam family: tRNA
About the family: Transfer RNA (tRNA) molecules are approximately 80 nucleotides in length. Their secondary structure includes four short double-helical elements and three loops (D, anti-codon, and T loops).
Source: RNAcentral